RNAcentral lists this ribosomal RNA (402 nucleotides) under uncultured bacterium. RNAcentral describes it as "bacterial SSU rRNA". It matches the Rfam family "Bacterial small subunit ribosomal RNA", at positions 355 to 774 of the family's 1533-position model. The record is from RNAcentral.
UGGGGAAUCUUGCACAAUGGGGGCAACCCUGAUGCAGCGACGCCGCGUGAGCGAUGAAGCCCUUCGGGGCGUAAAGCUCUUUCGACCGGAACGAUAAUGACGGUACCGGGAGAAGAAGCUGCGGCUAACUACGUGCCAGCAGCCGCGGUAAUACGUAGGCAGCAAGCGUUGUUCGGAGUUACUGGGCGUAAAGAGUGCGUAGGCGGUUUUCUAAGUUCGGUGUGAAAUCUCCCGGCUUAACUGGGAGGGUGCGCCGAAGACUGGGAAGCUGGAGUGUGGGAAAGGCAGGCGUAAUUCCUGGUGUAGCGGUGAAAUGCGUAGAUAUCAGGAGGAACACCGGCGGUGUAGACGGCUUGCUAGACCAUAACUGACGCUGAGGCACGAAAGCGUGGGUAGCAAACA